UACGUAGGGUGCAAGCGUGUUCGGAAUUAUUGGGCGUAAAGCGCGUGUAGGCGGCCCGGUAAGUCCGCUGUGAAAGUCGGGGGCUCAACCCUCGAAUGCCGGUGGAUACUGUCGGGCUAGAGUGCGGGAGAGGCGAAUGGAAUUCCUGGUGUAGCGGUGAAAUGCGCAGAUAUCAGGAGGAACACCGGUGGCGAAGGCGGUUCUCUGGGCAUGACCUGACGCUGAGGAGCGAAAGUGUGGGGAGCGAACAGG
Molecule: ribosomal RNA, 252 nt
Filed under: uncultured bacterium
Lineage: Bacteria
Description: partial 16S ribosomal RNA
Rfam family: Bacterial small subunit ribosomal RNA
Source: RNAcentral